GACGGAGGGGGCAAGCGUUAUCCGGAAUCAUUGGGCGUAAAGCGUACGCAGGCGGCGAUUUAAGUCUCCUGUCAAAGCCCCGGGCUCAACCCGGGGAAGGCAGUGGAAACUGAAUAGCUAGAGUGCGGUAGGGGCAGAGGGAAUUCCCGGUGUAGCGGUGAAAUGCGUAGAGAUCGGGAAGAAGACCAGUGGCGAAAGCGCUCUGCUGGGCCUGCGCUGACACUGAGGCACGAGAGCUAGGGGAGCGAAGAGG
RNAcentral lists this ribosomal RNA (253 nucleotides) under uncultured bacterium. RNAcentral's name for it is "partial 16S ribosomal RNA". It matches the Rfam family "Bacterial small subunit ribosomal RNA", at positions 524 to 776 of the family's 1533-position model. The record is from RNAcentral.